RNAcentral lists this ribosomal RNA (889 nucleotides) under uncultured bacterium. RNAcentral describes it as "bacterial SSU rRNA". It matches the Rfam family "Bacterial small subunit ribosomal RNA", at positions 9 to 888 of the family's 1533-position model. The record is from RNAcentral.
GAGUUUGAUCAUGGCUCAGAUUGAACGCUGGCGGCAUGCCUUACACAUGCAAGUUGAACGGCAGCACAGGGAGCUUGCUCCUGGGUGGCGAGUGGCGAACGGGUGAGUAAUGUAUCGGAACGUGCCCAGUAGUGGGGGAUAACUACUCGAAAGAGUGGCUAAUACCGCAUGAGAUCUCUGGAUGAAAGUGGGGGACCGCAAGGCCUCACGCUACUGGAGCGGCCGAUAUCAGAUUAGGUUGUUGGUGGGGUAAAGGCCUACCAAGCCUGCGAUCUGUAGCUGGUCUGAGAGGACGACCAGCCACACUGGGACUGAGACACGGCCCAGACUCCUACGGGAGGCAGCAGUGGGGAAUUUUGGACAAUGGGCGCAAGCCUGAUCCAGCAAUGCCGCGUGCAGGAUGAAGGCCUUCGGAUUGUAAACUGCUUUUGUACGGAACGAAAAGGCUCUGGUUAAUACCUGGGGUCCAUGACGGUACCGUAAGAAUAAGCACCGGCUAACUACGUGCCAGCAGCCGCGGUAAUACGUAGGGUGCAAGCGUUAAUCGGAAUUACUGGGCGUAAAGCGUGCGCAGGCGGUUUUGUAAGACAGAGGUGAAAUCCCCGGGCUCAACCUGGGAACUGCCUUUGUGACUGCAAGGCUGGAGUACGGCAGAGGGGGAUGGAAUUCCGCGUGUAGCAGUGAAAUGCGUAGAUAUCGGGAGGAACACCAGUGGCGAAGGCGGCUGCCUGGACCGAUACUGACGCUGAGACGCGAAAGCGUGGGUAGCAAACAGGAUUAGAUACCCUGGUAGUCCACGCCGUAAACGAUGAGUGCUAGGUGUCGCGGGUAUUGACCCCUGCGGCGCCGCAGCUAACGCAUUAAGCACUCCGCCUGGGGAGUACGGCCG